This 975-nucleotide ribosomal RNA is filed under the name human gut metagenome. Its description in RNAcentral is "bacterial LSU rRNA". It matches the Rfam family "Bacterial large subunit ribosomal RNA", at positions 1942 to 2925 of the family's 2925-position model. The record is from RNAcentral.
AUAACGGUCCUAAGGUAGCGAAAUUCCUUGUCGGGUAAGUUCCGACCUGCACGAAAGGCGCAACGACUUGGGCGCUGUCUCGACCAUGGACCCGGUGAAAUUGCACUGGUCGUGAAGAUGCGACUUACCCGCGGAAGGACGGAAAGACCCCGUGAACCUUCACUGCAGCUUGGCAUUGGCCGCUGGUCCCGCGUGUAGAGGAUAGGCAGGAGGCAUCGAUCCGGAGGCGCCAGCCCCCGGGGAGCCGCCCUUGGAAUACUGCCCUCGCGCGACCGGCGUCCUAACCCGAGGCCGUCGACCGGCUCGGGGACCGUGCCAGGCGGGCAGUUUGACUGGGGCGGUCGCCUCCUAAAGGGUAACGGAGGCGCGCGAAGGUCCGCUCGGGACGGUCGGCAACCGUCCUUUUGAAUGCAAGAGUACAAGCGGGCUUGACUGCGAGGCCCACAAGCCGAGCAGGUGCGAAAGCAGGCUCUAGUGAUCCGGCGGCCCCGAGUGGGUGGGCCGUCGCUCAACGGAUAAAAGGUACUCCGGGGAUAACAGGCUGAUCUUGCCCAAGAGUCCACAUCGACGGCAAGGUUUGGCACCUCGAUGUCGGCUCAUCGCAUCCUGGGGCUGGAGCAGGUCCCAAGGGUUGGGCUGUUCGCCCAUUAAAGCGGUACGCGAGCUGGGUUCAGAACGUCGUGAGACAGUUCGGUCCCUAUCCUCCGUGGGCGCAGGAGAAUCGAUGGAGGCUGCCCCCAGUACGAGAGGACCGGGGUGGACGCACCUCCGGUGAACCGGUUGUCGACCAACGGCACGGCCGGGUAGCCGCGUGCGGCGCGGAUAACCGCUGAAGGCAUCUAAGCGGGAAGCCGUUCCAGGGAUUAGUUCUCCUUCCGGUAAGGGCCCAGGUAGACUACCUGGUCGAUAGACGGCAGGUGCAAGGGCGGCGACGUCCUCAGCCGAGCCGCACUAAUCGCCCGAGCUCUUCCGGAA